AGAGUAAAGGUGUGUUCGCUAUACCGGAAAUCCGGUAUUCCAGUGCUGCCGGGACGGGGAGUUGUCCGGCGGACGAAAGCCAUACGGCUGCGAUUCGCAUCUUGCAUCCCGCU
RNAcentral lists this non-coding RNA (113 nucleotides) under uncultured Ruminococcus sp. RNAcentral describes it as "THF riboswitch". It matches the Rfam family "THF (Tetrahydrofolate) riboswitch aptamer". Rfam says of the family: THF riboswitch presents a pseudoknot that joins P1-P2 and the loop of P3 and two THF binding. The record is from RNAcentral. Lineage: Bacteria; Bacillati; Bacillota; Clostridia; Eubacteriales; Oscillospiraceae.